Oryctolagus cuniculus (rabbit) is the source of this 344-nucleotide long non-coding RNA. RefSeq lists it as uncharacterized. NCBI's taxonomy places the organism in Eukaryota, Metazoa, Chordata, Mammalia, Lagomorpha, Leporidae. The record is from RefSeq and is a predicted model, not a curated record.
CCAGGCCUCCUAGCUGGUGAGCCGAGACACGGAAUGUGUUUGCCCAAGAAACACAAGCCAGGCAGCUCCACCGCAUCAACAAGCCGCUUUCCGCCCCGGACAGGGGCAACAGCUGCCCCAAACCUGGCUGUUUAUACACUAAAAAAAGAAAUUCCAUGGUGACCAGUUGGCUCAAGCCAGCGCCCUGCGGAAGGCCGGCGGUCGUUGCAAAGUAAUCCCCGGGCACCAGCAGCUCUCCACCCAGUCCUCGGCACGGGAUCUGCCGACGAUGAAAAAGCUACGCAUGGAUUUCCAAAUCUUUUUAUACCAAAGUAAAUUCUUCUUUGCGUUCUGUUUUCCGUGAA